UACAGAGGGUGCAAGCGUUGUUCGGAAUUAUUGGGCGUAAAGGGUGCGUAGGCGGUGCGGUAAGUCUUUUGUGAAAUCUCCGGGCUCAACCCGGAGCCUGCAAGGGAAACUGCCGUGCUUGAGUGUGGGAGAGGUGAGUGGAAUUCCCGGUGUAGCGGUGAAAUGCGUAGAUAUCUGGAGGAACACCGGUGGCGAAGGCGGCAUCCUGGACCGGCAUCGACGCUGAGGCGCGAAAGCCAGGGGAGCAAACGGG
This 253-nucleotide ribosomal RNA is filed under the name uncultured bacterium. Its description in RNAcentral is "partial 16S ribosomal RNA". It matches the Rfam family "Bacterial small subunit ribosomal RNA", at positions 524 to 776 of the family's 1533-position model. The record is from RNAcentral.